CGGGACGGGUGAGUAAUGUCUGGGAAACUGCCUGAUGGAGGGGAUAACUACUGGAAACGGUAGCUAAUACCGCAUAACGCCGCAAGACCAAAGAGGGGGACCUUCGGGCCUCUUGCCAUCGGAUGUGCCCAGAUGGGAUUAGCUAGUAGGUGGGGUAACGGCUCACCUAGGCGACGAUCCCUAGCUGGUCUGAGAGGAUGACCAGCCACACUGGAACUGAGACACGGUCCAG
This 232-nucleotide ribosomal RNA is filed under the name uncultured bacterium. RNAcentral's name for it is "partial 16S ribosomal RNA". It matches the Rfam family "Bacterial small subunit ribosomal RNA", at positions 100 to 334 of the family's 1533-position model. The record is from RNAcentral.